UCGAUACUAAUGGGUGACCUUUAGUACCGGUUGGAGCCCCCUACCGGUACUAACUUCACUCCAUAAAUCAGGCGUCUUCCUCCUCCUAAUCCUCCUCCUGCACGAGCCAUUUCCUCCAGCUCUGGCUUCAUCCAUUCAUGGCGAAAUAGGGGAGGUGCUUGCCAGAUUUUGGACCAUUUCGUGGGGAUUUCACUUCAUUCAAGUGUUUUAAAGGUUAGAAACUUCAUCCUCACUUAACACAUGGUUAGUGUACUAAGUUUUAUGCUUUAGAGCUAGAGUAUUUUUUUAUUUUUAGAAUAAUGUACAAUGGAAUUUUUUUCAUUUAUAUGCAUGUGUUAUUUAGAGCAUAUUUGUGAUUUUUAGAAUAAGCUACAAUUUUUUGGAUACUAUGUUUUGUAUUAGUCAAAGUGAUAUGAGGUUAGAGCAAUAAUUUCAUAGUUUAAUCCUUUACAAAUAUGAGCUAAAUAAGUUAUGAGGAAAAAUAUAAUUAGUUCAUAUUUUAAUGAUUUGCAAAUAUAAGCGAGAUAAAUUAUGCUACAUAGAGAUAAUAAUAUGAAAAAGAGGUUGGAAUUAGUAAUUUUUAGAAUAAGCUACAAUGGAGAAAAAUUUCAUUUAUAUGUUAUGUUUGAGCUAAAUAAAUUAUGGAAAAAAAUAUAAUUUAUUCAUAGUUUAGUCAUUUGCAAAUAUGAGCUAAAUAAAUUAUGGUACAUAGAGAUGGAUACUGCUGCUGGAGGUAGUGGUGAUGGUGGGGGCGAUCGUCGUUCCUCUCGCGGCAAGGGGAAACCAUAGUUGGCCCUUAUGAUAAGCUGAAGAAAAUGAGCACGUGGAAGAGAGUAAUGCUUCGUUAUUUGGAAAUAUGUCAUGGAAAUGCUGUUGCGGCGGGUUAGAAAUCUUCUUUGGGUGGUCGUUAUACUCCACCGUCAGUUUUGGGUGUUUCAAGUCCACUGAGUACUACAGUAGCAGGAGGCACAAAUAAACCACAGGAUGAAGCUGGAUCAGCGAAACCUUCGUCUUCGCCACCCAAAGAUGCUUAAAGUCCUCCUAGAUAGUACUCAGUGGAUGGUUUGUCGUAGUGUAUCAUAUUGUUUGGGUCUAAAAUUUAAAUUUGUAUAUUUCUAUCUAAAUUUUCAGCAACAUUUGAGUUUGUUGUAGUGUAUCAUGUUGUUUGGGU
Molecule: long non-coding RNA, 1171 nt
Filed under: Setaria italica (foxtail millet)
Lineage: Eukaryota; Viridiplantae; Streptophyta; Magnoliopsida; Poales; Poaceae
Description: long non-coding RNA (SITA_LNC007249)
Source: RNAcentral